GUCACGCCCCGACACCCGCCUAUUUGGUCAGAUUCGGGCACGCCGACAGACCGCCGAACAGACAGAGUUUCUCCUGUACGUCCUAGGCGUCGCAAUCAAUACAAUUCACGAUGUUCCAACCAGGAACAGAAAUCAACAUACAGAUUGCAUAUGGAAAGGUAUCAACAACAUAAACACAUCCUAUGUUAUUACAAGCAUUCACAUUGAUACAUUUGCUUACAUCACAAUUACACUUUCUCUCCAACAUACAAUCUGAGUUAUUACAAUUUAUUACACAUUUGAUACAUCUAGUUCUUUCAUUUCCCUCUACCCCUAGGCUAUGCCGACUCGGGGUACCACUAUCUCUGGUCUCUGGGUAGGGCGCUAUCUACGGAGCUACGCCCUUGCCUCGCGCCGCUGCGCCGCUCACGUGCAAACCUGUAACACUCCAAAACAACGUGGGGUGAGAACCAACUCCAUGGUUCCCAGUGGGUACGACCACCCAAGGAAAAAGCUCGACCAAUAGGUCCAAGGAGGCACUGCAACAAGUUAGUCCAAUAACAUAUAACAGAUAUAUAUUCGAUAUUGAACUAAAUGUCAUGCCUCGCGAAAUGCAAUAUGCAAUACCUAUAACUUUAUGCAAGUAGAAUAA
Molecule: long non-coding RNA, 631 nt
Filed under: Ananas comosus (pineapple)
Lineage: Eukaryota; Viridiplantae; Streptophyta; Magnoliopsida; Poales; Bromeliaceae
Description: long non-coding RNA (ACOM_LNC000923)
Source: RNAcentral